GAUGAACGCUGGCGGCGUGCCUAACACAUGCAAGUCGAGCGAACCCUUCGGGGUGAGCGGCGGACGGGUGAGUAACGCGUGGGUAACCUGCCCUAUACACACGGAUAACGUACCGAAAGGUACGCUAAUACGGGAUAAAGUUGUUGGAUGGCAUUUUCUAACAAUCAAAGCUCCGGCGGUAUAGGAUGGACCCGCGUCUGAUUAGCUAGUUGGUGAGGUAAUGGCUCACCAAGGCGACGAUCAGUAGCCGACCUGAGAGGGUGAUCGGCCACACUGGAACUGAGACACGGUCCAGACUCCUACGGGAGGCAGCAGUGGGGAAUAUUGCACAAUGGGCGAAAGCCUGAUGCAGCAACGCCGCGUGAGCGAUGAAGGUCUUAGGAUCGUAAAGCUCUGUCCUCAAGGAAGAUAAUGACGGUACUUGAGGAGGAAGCCCCGGCUAACUACGUGCCAGCCGCCGCGGUAA
Molecule: ribosomal RNA, 466 nt
Filed under: uncultured bacterium
Lineage: Bacteria
Description: partial 16S ribosomal RNA
Rfam family: Bacterial small subunit ribosomal RNA
Source: RNAcentral